CAGGUGCAUUUGAAACAAUCCAUUCCACCAUAUGGGAAAGUAAACUCUCCUUUAUUACUCACUUUGUCCCAUGUUACCCAGCGUACGGCUUUCAGCACUCUCUGUAUCCUCACCAACCCCUUUUUAUCCAAACAAGAACAUAGGCUUUGGGGUUGGAGAGGUUUAUGUUCAAACUGUGGCUUUACCUCUACUUACAGUUAUAUGGCGUUGGACAAGUUAUGUAGCUGUUCCCCCCAUAAUUCAUUUGUAAGAUAAGGCAAGUAAAACCUGCUUCAGGAUCAUUGAGAUUAAAUAAUAUGGGCAACGUGUUUAGCGCAAUCCGUAGCACACAGUAAUGUUAGCCCUUAUUGAGCAUUAUUAUCACUGCUAGUUCUAUUAAAACUAAUAAAUAAGUCACCCUAUCUGCGAAUCUGAUCAGUCUCUUCACUCUUUGGUGAAAUAUGUGUAGACAUUUUCACCUUCAUAGCUUCAUAAGUCAAACUAG
Callorhinus ursinus (northern fur seal) is the source of this 484-nucleotide non-coding RNA. The record is from RefSeq and is a predicted model, not a curated record. Lineage: Eukaryota; Metazoa; Chordata; Mammalia; Carnivora; Otariidae.